GAUGAACGCUGGCGGCGUGCCUAAUACAUGCAAGUCGAGCGAACAGACGAGGAGCUUGCUCCUCUGACGUUAGCGGCGGACGGGUGAGUAACACGUGUAUAACCUACCUAUAAGACUGGGAUAACUUCGGGAAACCGGAGCUAAUACCGGAUAACAUGUUGAACCGCAUGGUUCAACAGUGAAAGACGGUCUUGCUGUCACUUAUAGAUGGAUCCGCGCCGCAUUAGCUAGUUGGUAAGGUAACGGCUUACCAAGGCAGCGAUGCGUAGCCGACCUGAGAGGGUGAUCGGCCACACUGGAACUGAGACACGGUCCAGACUCCUACGGGAGGCAGCAGUAGGGAAUCUUCCGCAAUGGGCGAAAGCCUGACGGAGCAACGCCGCGUGAUUGAAGAAGGUCUUCGGAUCGUAAAACUCUGUUAUUAGGGAAGAACAAAUGUGUAAGUAACUAUGCACGUCUUGACGGUACCUAAUCAGAAAGCCACGGCUAACUACGUG
RNAcentral lists this ribosomal RNA (497 nucleotides) under uncultured bacterium. RNAcentral describes it as "partial 16S ribosomal RNA". It matches the Rfam family "Bacterial small subunit ribosomal RNA", at positions 28 to 507 of the family's 1533-position model. The record is from RNAcentral.